Oreochromis aureus is the source of this 3211-nucleotide long non-coding RNA. The record is from Ensembl. Lineage: Eukaryota; Metazoa; Chordata; Actinopteri; Cichliformes; Cichlidae.
CAAAACAACAACACGCAGCGGACCAGCGAAGAAGCCGGCAAGUCCGCUAUUCACUCUUUCAUGGAAACUGGCAUUUCUUUUAUGUUUACGUCUUGGUAUGGCGACACCAACAAUUCGGGUAGUUAAUCCAGAUGCCCCUGCACAUCGUCAGCAGGCUCUACUUAUGGCAACCAAAGAGGCACGUUACUACCGGGUGAGAAGUAUGGUCUUCCCCAAACCUCCACAGGAGCUGCUCAGCCAAGUCACUGCCUUGACUCAUGCAGAGAAGCUUCUUCAAGCCGAGGGUAUCCACGUGCCUUCACGUCAGCAGUGCCUGGGAAAGCUGGUGGUGCCAUUUGGACAAUAUGAACAUGCACCGUUUCGGUGGCUCGUUGCAAACGACGUGGGAUAUAUGAAGUAGUGAGUGUACCAUAUAUUUAAUACCAUACUAUAGGCAGGUUUACUGAACUUCCAUUUACUGCACAUUUCCCCGUGUAAGGCUAUUAUCAGUAUAUCUUGUUCGUUGUAAACUUUCUUUAAGUGUGUAAUAUUCACGGAGAUAUUGCUGACAGUAUGUAUGAUUCCAGCAUACUUGACAGGCACAGAACAGAGGUGACAAAUCCACAAAGAAAGGGAGAGAUAGGGAACCAGUGGGUGAAGGAUUACCUCACAGAAUAUGCAGAAAGCUUCCCUCAAGUCUCCGUAGUCCUCGAGGCCAACAUUGACAGGUGCAUCUAUGGUCAGAAAGGGUUUGAAGAUCACACCUUUCAAGAGAUGUGGGAAUUAUAUUGUCAGUACAGCAGCCAAAAGGACAGACCUGAGAAGUUCAGUGAUGAGCAGAGGGAGGUCAUUCAGAAGGCACACAGUUCUGUGAAGAGGUGGUUGAACACACCAGUGACGCACAUCACAAGCACCCAAAUGAAGAGGUUCAGAAAAUAUAUAUAUGACAAGGAACAAGUAAGUGCUAUGGAGGAGAACAGCAGAACAGGACAGUAAAUGACUUAGUUAAAGAUAGUGAUAUGUGAUUAAUCUUGGCAACGUGUGGAUGUGCAUUUUUUCCAUCAAUCGCAGUACUCACAAUAAACUGUAUUGUUUAGCAACGGCUGACAAGUACCCCCAGGUGUGAUCCUUCGUUGUGGCCAGGUGAUGAUGCUGAACUGAUAGCUGCAUCCCAGUCUGUGGAAGGUGGUGAAAACGCUGUCUGGGGAAGGUCAAGGCUCAGCAGAAUGGUUCACCAGUAUCGGAAAUGAGCACUCACAAAUAGUUACAUUUGUGCUGACCUGCGAGGAGUCCUUUGACAAGCUGCAGCCAAUGUGCCGUGGAGUCAUGGAGAGGUUUCACUUGGCCAAUCAGCCUGUUCCCAAAAUUUUGUAUGUGGACCGUGGGUGUUGCCGUGCACAGGGACCAUCAGUAGUAGAGGCCUUGUUUCAGCCUUGGGUGGACAGUGGGAUGCUUGUGCAUCUGGACAUCUUUCACUGGAUCCACCGGUUUGAUGCAGCCAUCUAUACAGAGUCUCAUGCAAAGUACUCUGCAUUUAAGUCUGCAGUAGCUGGGGCGGUGCUGGCUUACAACCGCACAGACCUUGAGCUGCUUAUAAGGGCCGUCAGAGCAAAGAACCCAGUAAAAAUGCAGUCUGUGUCCGAUGAGGACGUUGUCUGCCUUUACAUUUCCAGGGAGCAGUUAAAACACCAUCUGCGCAGGGUCACACUUGGGGCUCAGGAAACGUUUUGGCUCAUCCAAUUGGUUAUCGAGGAGCUGAAAGGUCCAGCUGGGCUGGAUGAGAGGGGAGCGACUCUCUUCAAAACACCUGGGGCCAUUGAUGAGAUGUGGGCAGCACAGCAGCGACACCUGGAAUGCAUUCAGGACCCACCAGACAUGAGCAUGUAUAGGGUGGCUCAUACCACAACAAUAAACAACGUGGAUGUCCCCUAUUACAAGUGUCUGUGUGGAAGCAAUAGCCUGGAAGGGUUCCACAAAUUACUUCCUAACAUGAUUCCAGGUCCCCACUGCGCAGCACGUCCCUAUCAGCUUUACCUGAUAAGUGGUAUUGCAAGGUGGAACUCUGACAGGAGCUCAGAUGCUGUAUUUGUUGGCAAAGGAUGGCAUCACAGGAUUUACUCUGCACCGUUGAUCGAUCGCCUCAACACUCGCUGUCAGCAGCUGUUUGGAGAACCUGUAGAAGUAAACUUCCGUGGCCCAGCUGAUCUCACAUCAAAUGAAUUGCUCGGGCUGGAGUACUUGUUCAGCCAAAGCACUGGAGAGUCUGGAACUUUCUCUCUGGAGGGCAUCGUCAGUGAUGGACCUGGUCCUGAGGAGGAGGUGGUUCAGCCUGGGCAACCCAAACCAGAUGAUCGCGAUGAAGCAUACCAGAGUGACGAAGAGGCACGCGACACUGUAUUGGAUACUGUCCUUCCCCACAUUACACUCACCAAUGAUGAGACCUCCACAGUUCACCCUCCAGCCUUUGAAGAUGCCUGCAGUUCAAACCCCCUUCCUGGAUUUGAAAAGCUGGAAAUGUUCUGCUCUGUGCUUGUGGAGAUUAGCCUGAUAGAGGACAAGCUAUCACUUACCACCGAGCAGAGGAACAAGGUCCUCCAAACCUGGAAUAGCGUGGAGGAGCAUGACAAGCAGCCACAAAAGUUUAACCAGCUGUACAAGACCCACUGGGGCAACACCCUCUACUGCCGCACUAAAAGGGAUGACCUUGUUGAUGCUGCUCUUAUACAGAGAGUAAAGAUGGCGAAGCGCUAUGCACCCGCACAACAUGACAUCAGCGCUCAGAGCAACAGGCUAAUGUACACUCUGGUUAAACUUUUGUGGUUGCGCUCACCUCAGGGGUCUCGCAACAGUCCAGAGAAACUGUCUAUUUUAAAGGCCUACGAGCGAAUACAGCACCGGAUUCUGGUGGAAGAUGCUGUUCUCUGUAAAGCAGGCAUUCCUCUCCCUAAAAUUAACAUCAAGACUGUGCGGGACUUCAUUUGUCAGCAAGAAAGGAUCCUUAAUCUGCAUGCAACAAAACAUCCAUCGAUUUUGACCAAGAUCACCUCCAUCUCAUCUGCACACCUACCUCCAGCACCACACCAACCAGCAGUACUCCCUCCUCCAGACUACCCCCUGUUGAAAUAUGAGCCCACGCCCAGCACUGCAGGGACCAAGGUUUUGAAGGGAAGGAGAGACUUGCUGAUGCCAGUCUCCCAGCCUCAGCCACCUCUUCCACCUGUGCCACUACCAC